GACAGCUGUAAAAUGCUAACCCUGAAACUCAAAGAGCAGGUGGCUGGGACUAAGGGACUUAUUCUUGGGGGGUUUAAAUAGUGGAGGAUGGUGGGAAAAAGGAAGCGAAUAUUAGCAGCUGUGUCCCACACCAAAAAAAGAACAACUGCUAGGCGUUUGUGCCAUAACACCUGUUGAAGGCUGGCAAACUAAUGUCUACUGUGCUCUCUUUAUUAUUUAUUAUACAGAAGAAAAAAACAACUGCUGAUGGAAAAGAGAAAAAAAGAACAUGUUUCUCCAGAGGGCAAACCUAUGACUCCUAAAAUGAUGUUUCUUUACAUUCUGAUUUUUCUUUAAAGACCAGCUUCAUCUCCUCUUAAAUUACUAUUACUCAGUUUAUUAUGGCAAGAUUUAACACUGCAUAUCAUCCUAAGGACUCCCAUUCUUUGAUGUCUGUUUUGAAUUACAGCAGAUGAAAUGACAGUUUUAAAAGGAAAGGAAAAUAUAAAAAUAGUUUCUCUGAUACCCUCUUAGCCCUAUGUAAAGACAUAUGAUAUGAAUGAGGUGUAGGAGAGGCAGAAAGCUCUUAAAGAAAAGUAGGAGAAAUAAUCAGCCCAUGAUAACCAAAAAGACCCUCAUUCUUUUGCAGUGGCAGUGAGACCAAUUCCAGAGGUCAUUUGGAACCCCUCAAUUAAAGUGAGAAGCAGGUGAGAUUGAGUACAGUUCUGAGAUAAUAGUUUUAUA
Pelodiscus sinensis (Chinese soft-shelled turtle) is the source of this 723-nucleotide non-coding RNA. NCBI's taxonomy places the organism in Eukaryota, Metazoa, Chordata, Testudines, Trionychidae. The record is from RefSeq and is a predicted model, not a curated record.